UGGGGAAUUUUGGACAAUGGGCGAAAGCCUGAUCCAGCAAUGCCGCGUGUGUGAAGAAGGCCUUCGGGUUGUAAAGCACUUUUGUCCGGAAAGAAAUCCUUGGCUCUAAUACAGUCGGGGGAUGACGGUACCGGAAGAAUAAGCACCGGCUAACUACGUGCCAGCAGCCGCGGUAAUACGUAGGGUGCAAGCGUUAAUCGGAAUUACUGGGCGUAAAGCGUGCGCAGGCGGUUUGCUAAGACCGAUGUGAAAUCCCCGGGCUCAACCUGGGAACUGCAUUGGUGACUGGCAGGCUAGAGUAUGGCAGAGGGGGGUAGAAUUCCACGUGUAGCAGUGAAAUGCGUAGAGAUGUGGAGGAAUACCGAUGGCGAAGGCAGCCCCCUGGGCCAAUACUGACGCUCAUGCACGAAAGCGUGGGGAGCAAACAGGAUUAGAUACCCUGGUAGUCCACGCCCUAAACGAUGUCAACUAGUUGUGGGGAUUCAUUCCUUAGUAACGUAGCUAACGCGUGAAGUUGACCGCCUGGGGAGUACGGUCGCAAGAUU
RNAcentral lists this ribosomal RNA (545 nucleotides) under uncultured bacterium. RNAcentral's name for it is "partial 16S ribosomal RNA". It matches the Rfam family "Bacterial small subunit ribosomal RNA", at positions 355 to 895 of the family's 1533-position model. The record is from RNAcentral.